AUCAAGCUGACGAGUCCCAAAUAGAAUGAAACGCGUGUUAAACUGGAU
This is a non-coding RNA of Schistosoma curassoni, 48 nucleotides long. NCBI's taxonomy places the organism in Eukaryota, Metazoa, Platyhelminthes, Trematoda, Strigeidida, Schistosomatidae. The record is from Rfam.